CGCAGGCGGUCCUUUAAGUCUGAUGUGAAAGCCCACGGCUCAACCGUGGAGGGUCAUUGGAAACUGGGGGACUUGAGUGCAGAAGAGGAAAGCGGAAUUCCACGUGUAGCGGUGAAAUGCGUAGAGAUGUGGAGGAACACCAGUGGCGAAGGCGGCUUUCUGGUCUGUAACUGACGCUGAGGCGCGAAAGCGUGGGGAGCAAACAGGAUUAGAUACCCUGGUAGUCCACGCCGUAAACGAUGAGUGCUAAGUGUUAGAGGGUUUCCGCCCUUUAGUGCUGCAGCUAACGCAUUAAGCACUCCGCCUGGGGAGUACGGCCGCAAGGCUG
This 328-nucleotide ribosomal RNA is filed under the name bacterium enrichment culture clone FeOXA7. Its description in RNAcentral is "bacterial SSU rRNA". It matches the Rfam family "Bacterial small subunit ribosomal RNA", at positions 570 to 896 of the family's 1533-position model. The record is from RNAcentral.